GACGAACGCUGGCAGCGUGCCUAAUACAUGCAAGUUGAGCGAUGAAGAUUGGUGCUUGCACCAAUUUGAAGAGCAGCGAACGGGUGAGUAACGCGUGGGGAAUCUGCCUUUGAGCGGGGGACAACAUUUGGAAACGAAUGCUAAUACCGCAUAAUAACUUUAAACAUAAGUUUUAAGUUUGAAAGAUGCAAUUGCAUCACUCAAAGAUGAUCCCGCGUUGUAUUAGCUAGUUGGUGAGGUAAAGGCUCACCAAGGCGAUGAUACAUAGCCGACCUGAGAGGGUGAUCGGCCACAUUGGGACUGAGACACGGCCCAAACUCCUACGGGAGGCAGCAGUAGGGAAUCUUCGGCAAUGGACGAAAGUCUGACCGAGCAACGCCGCGUGAGUGAAGAAGGUUUUCGGAUCGUAAAACUCUGUUGGUAGAGAAGAACGUUGGUGAGAGUGGAAAGCUCAUCAAGUGACGGUAACUACCCAGAAAGGGACGGCUAACUACGUG
RNAcentral lists this ribosomal RNA (497 nucleotides) under uncultured bacterium. RNAcentral describes it as "partial 16S ribosomal RNA". It matches the Rfam family "Bacterial small subunit ribosomal RNA", at positions 28 to 507 of the family's 1533-position model. The record is from RNAcentral.